CAAUAGCGUAUAUUAAAGUUGUUGCAGUUAAAAAGCUCGUAGUUGAAUUUCUGUCAGGAGCGACCGGGCCUUUGGAUGAACUUCCAUUGUUUUUGCUCUGUUUGUCGUCUCUAGACAUCCUAAAUUACAUUUCUUGUAAUUUUCUUUUACUGUUAGCAAAAUAGAGUGUUCCAAGCAAAGCGUAGUUUUGAAUACAUUAGAAUGGAAUAAUAAGAUAGGACUUUGGUGCUAUUUUGUUGGUUUGCACACCAAGGUAAUGAUUAAUAGGGACAGUUGGGGGUAUUCGUAUUUAAUUGUCAGAGGUGAAAUUCUUGGAUUUAUGAAAGACGAACUACUGCGAAAGCAUUUACCAAGGAUGUUUNCAUUA
Molecule: ribosomal RNA, 367 nt
Filed under: uncultured eukaryote
Lineage: Eukaryota
Description: partial 18S ribosomal RNA
Rfam family: Eukaryotic small subunit ribosomal RNA
Source: RNAcentral